RNAcentral lists this ribosomal RNA (376 nucleotides) under uncultured bacterium. RNAcentral's name for it is "bacterial SSU rRNA". It matches the Rfam family "Bacterial small subunit ribosomal RNA", at positions 524 to 898 of the family's 1533-position model. The record is from RNAcentral.
UACGUAGGUGGCGAGCGUUGUCCGGAAUUACUGGGUGUAAAGGGCGUGUAGACGGGUGUGCAAGUCAGAUGUGAAAUUCCAGGGCUCAACCCUGGCGCUGCAUCUGAAACUGUAUAUCUUGAGUGCUGGAGAGGAAAGCGGAAUUCCUAGUGUAGCGGUGAAAUGCGUAGAUAUUAGGAGGAACACCAGUGGCGAAGGCGGCUUUCUGGACAGUAACUGACGUUGAGGCGCGAAAGCGUGGGGAGCAAACAGGAUUAGAUACCCUGGUAGUCCACGCCGUAAACGAUGGAUACUAGGUGUAGGAGGUAUCGACCCCUUCUGUGCCGGAGUUAACACAAUAAGUAUCCCACCUGGGGAGUACGGCCGCAAGGUUGAA